UAGGGAAUAUUGCAAAUGGGCGCAAGCCUGAUGUAGCAACGCCGCGUGUGCGAUGAAGGUCUUCGGAUUGUAAAGCACUUUUUGGUGGGAUGAGGAAGGACAGUACCUCCAGAAUAAGCCUCGGCUAACUACUUGCCAGCAGCCGCGGUAACACGUAGGAGGCAAGCGUUAUUCGGAUUUACUGGGCGUAAAGCGCGUGCAGGCGGUUUGGAAAGUUGGAUGUGAAAGAUCCUGGAUCAACUGGGAGAGGUCGUUCAAAA
RNAcentral lists this ribosomal RNA (260 nucleotides) under uncultured bacterium. RNAcentral describes it as "partial 16S ribosomal RNA". It matches the Rfam family "Bacterial small subunit ribosomal RNA", at positions 355 to 632 of the family's 1533-position model. The record is from RNAcentral.